RNAcentral lists this ribosomal RNA (492 nucleotides) under uncultured bacterium. RNAcentral's name for it is "partial 16S ribosomal RNA". It matches the Rfam family "Bacterial small subunit ribosomal RNA", at positions 29 to 507 of the family's 1533-position model. The record is from RNAcentral.
AGUGAACGCUGGCGGUAGGCCUAACACAUGCAAGUCGAACGGCAGCACAGUAAGAGCUUGCUCUUACGGGUGGCGAGUGGCGGACGGGUGAGGAAUACAUCGGAAUCUACUUUUUCGUGGGGGAUAACGUAGGGAAACUUACGCUAAUACCGCAUACGACCUACGGGUGAUAGCAGGGGAUCUUCGGACCUUGCGCGAUUGAAUGAGCCGAUGUCGGAUUAGCUAGUUGGCGGGGUAAAGGCCCACCAAGGCGACGAUCCGUAGCUGGUCUGAGAGGAUGAUCAGCCACACUGGAACGGAGACACGGUCCAGACUCCUACGGGAGGCAGCAGUGGGGAAUAUUGGACAAUGGGCGCAAGCCUGAUCCAGCCAUACCGCGUGGGUGAAGAAGGCCUUCGGGUUGUAAAGCCCUUUUGUUGGGAAAGAAAAGCAGCAGGUUAAUACCCCGCUGUUCUGACGGUACCCAAAGAAUAAGCACCGGCUAACUUCGUG